GAUGAACGCUGGCGGCGUGCUUAACACAUGCAAGUCGAACGAACCUUCGGGUUAGUGGCGGGCGGGUGAGUAACGCGUGGGAAUCUGCCCUCAGGAGGGGGAUAACGGUUGGAAACGGCCGCUAAUACCCCAUAUGCCGAGAGGUGAAAUGAAUUUCGCCUGAGGAUGAGCCCGCGUCUGAUUAGCUAGUUGGUGAGGUAAGAGCUCACCAAGGCAUCGAUCAGUAGCUGGUCUGAGAGGAUGAUCAGCCACACUGGGACUGAGACACGGCCCAGACUCCUACGGGAGGCAGCAGUGGGGAAUUUUCCGCAAUGGGCGAAAGCCUGACGGAGCAACGCCGCGUGAGGGAUGAAGGCCUCUGGGCUGUAAACCUCUUUUAUCAAGGAAGAAGAUCUGACGGUACUUGAUGAAUAAGCCACGGCUAAUUCCGUG
Molecule: ribosomal RNA, 432 nt
Filed under: uncultured bacterium
Lineage: Bacteria
Description: bacterial SSU rRNA
Rfam family: Bacterial small subunit ribosomal RNA
Source: RNAcentral